UUUAAAACGUUUUAGAUAUGUAAUAUGAACAUCAUUUUAAAGUUUUUGGUGCAUUGAUCAAUUGUGUGAGCAGAUUUUGAAUUUGUGGUAACAAAAGCUUAGCUACGGUAAUCAUUUGCGUUUUUCUUUUAGUUUAAUUUGUUGUGAAACUUUGGUAAUGUGAAUGUUCUACAAAUUGUAUUUUAAUUUAAUUUUAAAAUGUGUUAUCUGCAUUCAUUUCUCUUAAUAGAUGAGGAGGAGGAAGUGAAAACUAAAAAGAGUAAGGUAGCAAAGUUCUUCAAAGCUACCACAAAACUCUUUGGGAUGUCCUGCUUUCGUCAGGCUGAGGAGCAGCUCUCUGACUCUGAAGGCUCUGAUGCAGAUGACUUUCUGUGCCAAUCCCAGUCUGAUCAGAGUCUGGAGGUUGCUCCGGACAUCGUUCAUGAAGUGAGCUGUGUGAUGGACGACCUAAAGGUGGACGAGACAAAUGACUUGACACUCAACGUAGAGUACGUCAAAAAAGAGGAGGAGGAGGAGAUGAGAAUGAAUGAUGAGAAGAACACAGAGGAGGACAAGAUCAAAAAGAGAAAGAGGAGGAGGAGGAAUAGGAUGAAAGAGGAGAAUGAGAUGAAGAUGAAAGAGGAGAGGUUGACAGAAAAUGAAGAGAAGGAGAAGAAUGAGGAGAUGGUGAAGAUGAACAAGGAAAGAAUGAAAGAAAAUGAAGAGAAAGAGGAGAAGAAUGAGGAGAUGGUGAAGAUGAACAAGGAAAGAAUGAAAGAAAAUGAAGAGAAGGAGAAGAAGAAUGAGGAGAUGGUGAAGAUGAACAAGGACAGAAUGAAAGAAAAUGAAGAGAAAGAGGAGAAGAAUGAGGAGAUGGUGAAGAUGAACAAGGACAGAAUGAAAGAAAAUGAAGAGAAGGAGGAGAAGAAUAAGGAGAUGGUGAUAAAAGAGGAGAUGAUAACAGACAAUGAUGAGGUGGAGGAGGAGAAUGAGGAAGAGAGGGAAAAGACAAAGGAGAAAGAGAAGAGAAAGGGAACAAAGAAAAGAAACAGCAAGAUAAUCAGACGAAUGAUGAGGAGGAGAAGCAAGAGAAGGAGAAUGAGGAGAGUUUGAAUCAAAAUAAUAAUUGAAAAUAAAAAAAUAAAAAAACUGGAUGGACAAUUCUUAAUUUAUGGUCUAAAAUAUUAAUAUGCAAAAAAAUUGCAUGUCAAAAGAGUGCAUGAACUGCUCUAUCUUUCUGGCCUAUAGUUAAUGUGCACAAAUAGUUGUACACAAAAGGGCAAGCACAACACAAGCUCUACUGAAAAAAGAAAACACUAAGGGCACAUUAACUUGAUCAAAACAGUAAUAAAAGUGAAUUAAUCAAUGAGGACAUGAAGAGCACACUGUUAACAAUUUCCUGUAGAAUCUACAAUAACUCACUGGCAGCAGUUCAACAGUAAUUUACUGCAAAUCAGCAAGAAUACUGAUAUUUAUCUGCAAUACGUGUAUCUAUAGUAUUGUAUUUCUUUACUGUAAAAUCUACAGUCAU
Molecule: long non-coding RNA, 1510 nt
Filed under: Danio rerio (zebrafish)
Lineage: Eukaryota; Metazoa; Chordata; Actinopteri; Cypriniformes; Danionidae
Description: lncRNA (ENSDARG00000117590.1)
Source: RNAcentral